This 726-nucleotide long non-coding RNA is filed under the name Homo sapiens (human). RNAcentral's name for it is "non-protein coding lnc-TRMT61B-7:1". Lineage: Eukaryota; Metazoa; Chordata; Mammalia; Primates; Hominidae. The record is from RNAcentral.
CAGGAGCGAAGAAAGAGUUGUCAGGCAAUCCUUCCUGGUCACCGGGCAGAAAAAGAGAGGCAGUUAUAGACACACUGGAUCAUAUAAGUGACACUCAGAAACAGCCACACACUAUCUGUGGAUUCUAUUUUUCUACGAUGCUUGCUUUCUUUACCGAGGUCUUUGGCAUGUCCACGUUUCCAGGAAAGCACUGGACCCAUCUACUCUGAAACAAAGGAACAACUUCCAGGAUAACAAAGAAAAAGUCAGUUUUUACCACCAAGACACCUUGGAUAAAAGAUAGGAAAAACCCAUCCUUGUCAAUGGGCUCUGCAAUGCCAGCUGUGGAGUCUGAGUGCUGGCUUCCUCUCUGGGGCACCUGGACACAGGAACAGGAAGCUGAAAGGUGGAUCCUGCUUUAAGUGGGGAGCUGUGCUCGCAUUUGGUGGGACCAGAUGCUACAAGGCGAGUGGUGGCAGGCCCUUGGCAAGGUGAUUUGGGAGGAGGGAAGAAAUUGCCAUGGAAAUGCAACCAAUACUUAAUCUAUUCUAGGAUCUGAUAUUUGGGAUAAAAUAUUACAUCAUCCUAUAAAAAUCAGUUCAGUUUCUCUAAAGUGAAAAAGGAAUACUUUUAUGCCACUGACUUUUUUUUUUUUUUUUUUUGAGACAGAGUCUUGCUCUGUCUCCAGGCUGGAGUGCAGUGGUGCAAUCUUGGCUCACUACAACCUCCGCCUCCCAGGUUCAAGCU